GUGAGCCUGUGACAGGGAGGUCGUCGGUUCAAUCCCAAGACCGACAGGAUCAAAUCUGGGUGGAGAAGAGUGAAAGAGCAGCGCUUGUCCCUCCCUCAUUAACACCACUGAGGUGCCCUUGAGCAAGAUGCCCUUAACC
Long non-coding RNA from Etheostoma cragini (Arkansas darter), 139 nucleotides. RefSeq lists it as uncharacterized. The transcript has 3 exons. Lineage: Eukaryota; Metazoa; Chordata; Actinopteri; Perciformes; Percidae. The record is from RefSeq and is a predicted model, not a curated record.